Molecule: long non-coding RNA, 659 nt
Organism: Etheostoma cragini (Arkansas darter)
Lineage: Eukaryota; Metazoa; Chordata; Actinopteri; Perciformes; Percidae
Exons: 2
Source: RefSeq, a predicted model, not a curated record
GAAUAUAAAUAUCUUACACUGGAAAGACAUGAUUAAGUUUGCAGCUAUUUUACUUGAAUAUAAAAAUGUUCAUAGUAUGGCUCCCCGUCCACUCAAAAAAUCCAUUCAACAAAAUCCAAAGUCCCCCACCAGAGCAUCUACAAGAAGGGAUUGUAAAAUACCAUGUAGAAAAAGUAGUUUUGGACAGUCAGGUUUUUCCUUUCAUCAUCAUCAUCACAUCUAUCAAAUCCUUCUCCAAAUCCAUAAAACAUUGGUUAUUGACUAAUCAAACAUGCUGCCAUAAUACAGAAUAUUGUGUUUGUCUUUGUCGCUAUAGUAGUGUCUCUGUGUGUGCUUAUGUGUUGUUGAUGCGUUCCAAUGUGUGUUGCUGCACUUUUAUCUGUAUCUACUGUGUGUGAUACUUGUGUUAGGUUUUUCUCAUGCCAUCAACCUGCCACCUGUGAUGAUCUGGAUUAGCGGUUGUGUCAUGUUACUUGUCUAUGCCUAUGCCUUUCUUAUUUUAUGUUAAUGUCUUGCAUUGUUGUUGCUGAGCUAUUAUUUUUAAGCCAUUAACCUGCUUGGGACUGCAGAUGAAAAUUAGCCUGUUUGGCUAAAUCUAGCAUAUUUACAUGUUGGACUCAUGUUGAUGAAUCUGCAUUGUCGCUUUUAAAUAAAGAAAU